GGACGUUAUACCUUCUAAGUAAGGUAGUCUAUCUUUUUACAAAGGAAAUGUUUGAUGAUGUUCAAAUGAAAACUUGCAUUUGGACUUCAGAAUUGACUCUAUGAGUUAUAGGUGCUAUCAUGCUAAGCAUUUAAUGAACAUGAAAAAUACUGUUAGACAUAUCCUGUCCAAAUUUGCUGUUACUUUCCCUCCAAUGAAAUUUGUUUGUCAUCUAUGUCUGAAUAAGCAUUAUUUUGAGCUGCCAAUUUGCCUGAAAUGAAGGUUGAAAGAGGAUUACCUUGUCCCAUCACAGUUUAAUAUGAGUAGCUUUGUAUCUUAAUUAAUCAUGUAAUAAUCUAAUAGAGAAGAGAUUGAUCAUUGAAAUGUCAGUAGAUUUAUGUUAUGCCUUGUGCUGUAUGGAACAAAUAUCACCAGAAAUAUGUCCUGGUUUUGUUUCAUGUGAUUAUUGAUUGCAGGUUGGUAAACUGGGUCUGAUGGAGCAGUCAGUCUGGGUUAUAGCAUUUGCACAUGAUUUAUAUGAGGUCCUUUUGCAUUUUUUUAGUGCAGUAUUUAAUUGAGGGUCUGAUGUAUUAAUUGUCAUAAAUUGAUUGAUAGAUACAAACAGGGAGAAUUGUGUUAUUUAAUUUUAGUUCUAUAGUGGUCUUGAGUACGUGUUUCUGGUUUCGAAGCCAUAGUUAAACCAUGAUUCAUAAAUCAAUCAUAUUCUACCUUUUCUGCUCAAGUUUUUUGAACCUUUAUCAUG
Molecule: unclassified non-coding RNA, 742 nt
Filed under: Hevea brasiliensis (rubber tree)
Lineage: Eukaryota; Viridiplantae; Streptophyta; Magnoliopsida; Malpighiales; Euphorbiaceae
Source: RNAcentral